UCCGGUUUGUCACCGGCAGUCUCCCAUGAGUCCCCAACUGAAUGCUGGCAACAUGGAACGGGGGUUGCGCUCGUUGCGGGACUUAACCCAACAUCUCACGACACGAGCUGACGACAGCCAUGCACCACCUGUGAUCCUGCCCGUGAGGGAAGCCCUGUUUCCAGGGCGGUCAGGAACAUGUCAAACCCAGGUAAGGUUCUUCGCGUUGCAUCGAAUUGAACCACAUGCUCCACCGCUUGUGCGGGCCCCCGUCAAUUUCUUUGAGUUUUAAUCUUGCGACCGUACUCCCCAGGCGGGGUGCUUAAUGCGUUAGCUGCGCCACCAACGAGCAAGCCCGCUGACAGCUAGCACCCAUAGUUUACGGCGUGGACUAC
This 374-nucleotide unclassified non-coding RNA is filed under the name uncultured bacterium. Its description in RNAcentral is "contains 16S-23S intergenic spacer region". The record is from RNAcentral.